Molecule: transfer RNA, 73 nt
Filed under: Devosia sp. J2-20
Lineage: Bacteria; Pseudomonadati; Pseudomonadota; Alphaproteobacteria; Hyphomicrobiales; Devosiaceae
Description: tRNA-Phe
Rfam family: tRNA
About the family: Transfer RNA (tRNA) molecules are approximately 80 nucleotides in length. Their secondary structure includes four short double-helical elements and three loops (D, anti-codon, and T loops).
Source: RNAcentral
GCCAGCGUCUCGACGGGAUUGAGGCGGAUUGAAAAUCCGCGUGUCACUGGUUCGAUUCCGGUCCCGGGCACCA